AGAGUUUGAUCCUGGCUCAGGAUGAACGCUGGCGGUCUGCUUAACACAUGCAAGUCGAACGGGGGUAGAAAUACCCUAGUGGCGGACGGGUGAGUAACGCGUGAGAAUCUGCCUUCAGGUUCGGGACAACCACUGGAAACGGUGGCUAAUACCGGAUAUGCUUCACGGUGAAAGAUUUAUUGCCUGAAGAGGAGCUCGCGUCUGAUUAGCUAGUUGGUAGGGUAAAAGCCUACCAAGGCAACGAUCAGUAGCUGGUCUGAGAGGAUGAUCAGCCACACUGGGACUGAGACACGGCCCAGACUCCUACGGGAGGCAGCAGUGGGGAAUUUUCCGCAAUGGGCGAAAGCCUGACGGAGCAAGACCGCGUGAGGGAGGAAGGCUCUUGGGUUGUAAACCUCUUUUCUCAGGGAAGAACAAAUGACGGUACCUGAGGAAUCAGCCUCGGCUAACUCCGUGCCAGCAGCCGCGGUAAUACGGAGGAGGCAAGCGUUAUCCGGAAUUAUUGGGCGUAAAGCGUCCGCAGGUGGCUCGCUCAAGUCUGCUGUCAAAGACCGGGGCUUAACUCCGGAAAGGCAGUGGAAACUGACAAGCUAGAGGGCUCUAGGGGUAGAGGGAAUUCCCGGUGUAGCGGUGAAAUGCGUAGAGAUCGGGAAGAACAUCGGUGGCGAAAGCGCUCUACUGGAGAGCAACUGACACUCAGGGACGAAAGCUAGGGGAGCGAAUGGGAUUAGAUACCCCAGUAGUCCUAGCCGUAAACGAUGGAUACUAGGCGUGGCUCGUAUCGACCCGAGCCGUGCCGUAGCUAACGCGUUAAGUAUCCCGCCUGGGGAGUACGCACGCAAGUGUGAAACUCAAAGGAAUUGACGGGGGCCCGCACAAGCGGUGGAGUAUGUGGUUUAAUUCGAUGCAACGCGAAGAACCUUACCAGGGCUUGACAUGUCCGGAACCCUGCUGAAAGGUGGGGGUGCCUUCGGGAGCCGGAACACAGGUGGUGCAUGGCUGUCGUCAGCUCGUGUCGUGAGAUGUUGGGUUAAGUCCCGCAACGAGCGCAACCCUCGUUCUUAGUUGCCAGCAUUAAGUUGGGCACUCUAGGGAGACUGCCGGUGACAAACCGGAGGAAGGUGGGGAUGACGUCAAGUCAGCAUGCCCCUUACGUCCUGGGCUACACACGUACUACAAUGCGACGGACAAAGGGCAGCGAGCGAGCGAUCGUCAGCUAAUCCCAUAAACCGUGGCUCAGUUCAGAUCGCAGGCUGCAACUCGCCUGCGUGAAGGAGGAAUCGCUAGUAAUUGCAGGUCAGCAUACUGCAGUGAAUCCGUUCCCGGGCCUUGUACACACCGCCCGUCACACCAUGGGAGCUGGUUUUGCCCGAAGUCGUUACCCUAACCCGCAAGGGAAGGGGACGCCGAAGGCAGGGCUAGUGACUGGGGUGAAGUCGUAACAAGGUAGCCGUACCGGAAGGUGUGGCUGGAUCACCUCCUUUUUAGGGAGACCUAUUUGCCGUUGACCUCUUCUUAGUAUUAAGGUCACACAGGCAAGUCAUCCUAGGUCGUUCGAGAUUGGAUUGCGCUUAGGCUUUCAAACUAUCUUAGGUUCGGUCACAAGACCUGGAACUAAGAAUUCAGCAAUUUUGCUUGAUAGCAAGCAAUUCUGCUGGAUGUCUAAUCCAGCCAGAACCUUGAAAACUGCAUAGCAACUGAUAUAGGUAGUUCUCAGUCAUGAGUGAACAGUCAAGGGAGAUUUAAUGAAAUCGCCUGGACUAGGAAACGAAUGACUGGUGAAAAGACGUAUCACAGACGCCAAAUAAAUUGUGGUCAAGCUACAAAGAGCUAACGGUGGAUACCUAGGCACACAGAGGCGAAG
This 1864-nucleotide ribosomal RNA is filed under the name Lyngbya sp. CHAB TP201718.1. RNAcentral describes it as "bacterial SSU rRNA". The stretch from base 1 to 1484 matches the Rfam family "Bacterial small subunit ribosomal RNA". The record is from RNAcentral. Lineage: Bacteria; Bacillati; Cyanobacteriota; Cyanophyceae; Oscillatoriales; Microcoleaceae.